GGGUUGUGAGGUUAAGCGACUAAGCGUACACGGUGGAUGCCCUGGCAGUCAGAGGCGAUGAAGGACGUGCUAAUCUGCGAUAAGCGUCGGUGAGGUGAUAUGAACCGUUAUAACCGGCGAUUUCCGAAUGGGGAAACCCAGUGUGUUUCGACACACUAUCAUUAACUGAAUCCAUAGGUUAAUGAGGCGAACCGGGGGAACUGAAACAUCUAAGUACCCCGAGGAAAAGAAAUCAACCGAGAUUCCCCCAGUAGCGGCGAGCGAACGGGGAGGAGCCCAGAGCCUGAAUCAGUGUGUGUGUUAGUGGAAGCGUCUGGAAAGGCGUGCGAUACAGGGUGACAGCCCCGUACACAAAAAUGCACAUAUUGUGAGCUCGAUGAGUAGGGCGGGACACGUGGUAUCCUGUCUGAAUGUGGGGGGACCAUCCUCCAAGGCUAAAUACUCCUGACUGACCGAUAGUGAACCAGUACCGUGAGGGAAAGGCGAAAAGAACCCCGGCGAGGGGAGUGAAAAAGAACCUGAAACCGUGUACGUACAAGCAGUGGGAGCCUCUUAAUGGGGUGACUGCGUACCUUUUGUAUAAUGGGUCAGCGACUUAUAUUCUGUAGCAAGGUUAACCGAAUAGGGGAGCCGAAGGGAAACCGAGUCUUAACUGGGCGUUAAGUUGCAGGGUAUAGACCCGAAACCCGGUGAUCUAGCCAUGGGCAGGUUGAAGGUUGGGUAACACUAACUGGAGGACCGAACCGACUAAUGUUGAAAAAUUAGCGGAUGACUUGUGGCUGGGGGUGAAAGGCCAAUCAAACCGGGAGAUAGCUGGUUCUCCCCGAAAGCUAUUUAGGUAGCGCCUCGUGAAUUCAUCUCCGGGGGUAGAGCACUGUUUCGGCAAGGGGGUCAUCCCGACUUACCAACCCGAUGCAAACUGCGAAUACCGGAGAAUGUUAUCACGGGAGACACACGGCGGGUGCUAACGUCCGUCGUGAAGAGGGAAACAACCCAGACCGCCAGCUAAGGUCCCAAAGUCAUGGUUAAGUGGGAAACGAUGUGGGAAGGCCCAGACAGCCAGGAUGUUGGCUUAGAAGCAGCCAUCAUUUAAAGAAAGCGUAAUAGCUCACUGGUCGAGUCGGCCUGCGCGGAAGAUGUAACGGGGCUAAACCAUGCACCGAAGCUGCGGCAGCGACACUAUGUGUUGUUGGGUAGGGGAGCGUUCUGUAAGCCUGUGAAGGUGGCCUGUGAGGGUUGCUGGAGGUAUCAGAAGUGCGAAUGCUGACAUAAGUAACGAUAAAGCGGGUGAAAAGCCCGCUCGCCGGAAGACCAAGGGUUCCUGUCCAACGUUAAUCGGGGCAGGGUGAGUCGACCCCUAAGGCGAGGCCGAAAGGCGUAGUCGAUGGGAAACAGGUUAAUAUUCCUGUACUUGGUGUUACUGCGAAGGGGGGACGGAGAAGGCUAUGUUGGCCGGGCGACGGUUGUCCCGGUUUAAGCGUGUAGGCUGGUUUUCCAGGCAAAUCCGGAAAACCAAGGCUGAGGCGUGAUGACGAGGCACUACGGUGCUGAAGCGACAAAUGCCCUGCUUCCAGGAAAAGCCUCUAAGCAUCAGGUAACAUCAAAUCGUACCCAAAACCGACACAGGUGGUCAGGUAGAGAAUACCAAGGCGCUUGAGAGAACUCGGGUGAAGGAACUAGGCAAAAUGGUGCCGUAACUUCGGGAGAAGGCACGCUGAUAUGUAGGUGAAGCGACUUGCUCGUGGAGCUGAAAUCAGUCGAAGAUACCAGCUGGCUGCAACUGUUUAUUAAAAACACAGCACUGUGCAAACACGAAAGUGGACGUAUACGGUGUGACGCCUGCCCGGUGCCGGAAGGUUAAUUGAUGGGGUUAGCGGCAACGCGAAGCUCUUGAUCGAAGCCCCGGUAAACGGCGGCCGUAACUAUAACGGUCCUAAGGUAGCGAAAUUCCUUGUCGGGUAAGUUCCGACCUGCACGAAUGGCGUAAUGAUGGCCAGGCUGUCUCCACCCGAGACUCAGUGAAAUUGAACUCGCUGUGAAGAUGCAGUGUACCCGCGGCAAGACGGAAAGACCCCGUGAACCUUUACUAUAGCUUGACACUGAACAUUGAGCCUUGAUGUGUAGGAUAGGUGGGAGGCUUUGAAGUGUGGACGCCAGUCUGCAUGGAGCCGACCUUGAAAUACCACCCUUUAAUGUUUGAUGUUCUAACGUUGGCCCGUAAUCCGGGUUGCGGACAGUGUCUGGUGGGUAGUUUGACUGGGGCGGUCUCCUCCUAAAGAGUAACGGAGGAGCACGAAGGUUGGCUAAUCCUGGUCGGACAUCAGGAGGUUAGUGCAAUGGCAUAAGCCAGCUUGACUGCGAGCGUGACGGCGCGAGCAGGUGCGAAAGCAGGUCAUAGUGAUCCGGUGGUUCUGAAUGGAAGGGCCAUCGCUCAACGGAUAAAAGGUACUCCGGGGAUAACAGGCUGAUACCGCCCAAGAGUUCAUAUCGACGGCGGUGUUUGGCACCUCGAUGUCGGCUCAUCACAUCCUGGGGCUGAAGUAGGUCCCAAGGGUAUGGCUGUUCGCCAUUUAAAGUGGUACGCGAGCUGGGUUUAGAACGUCGUGAGACAGUUCGGUCCCUAUCUGCCGUGGGCGCUGGAGAACUGAGGGGGGCUGCUCCUAGUACGAGAGGACCGGAGUGGACGCAUCACUGGUGUUCGGGUUGUCAUGCCAAUGGCACUGCCCGGUAGCUAAAUGCGGAAGAGAUAAGUGCUGAAAGCAUCUAAGCACGAAACUUGCCCCGAGAUGAGUUCUCCCUGACUCCUUGAGAGUCCUGAAGGAACGUUGAAGACGACGACGUUGAUAGGCCGGGUGUGUAAGCGCAGCGAUGCGUUGAGCUAACCGGUACUAAUGAACCGUGAGGCUUAACCUUACAACGCCGAAG
RNAcentral lists this ribosomal RNA (2925 nucleotides) under Escherichia coli. Its description in RNAcentral is "23S ribosomal RNA". It matches the Rfam family "Bacterial large subunit ribosomal RNA". Lineage: Bacteria; Pseudomonadati; Pseudomonadota; Gammaproteobacteria; Enterobacterales; Enterobacteriaceae. The record is from RNAcentral.